UACGUAGGAGGCAAGCGUUGUCCGGAAUUACUGGGCGUAAAGCGCGUGUAGGUGGUGGGACAAGUCUGCUGUGAAAGCGCCUGGCUUAACCGGGCGAGGUCGGCGGAAACUGUCGCACUCGAGGACGGUAGAGGGGGGUGGAAUUCCCGGUGUAGUGGUGAAAUGCGUAGAGAUCGGGAGGAACACCUGUGGCGAAGGCGGCCCCCUGGGCCGGCCCUGACACUGAGACGCGAAGGCGUGGGGAGCGAACGGG
Molecule: ribosomal RNA, 253 nt
Filed under: uncultured bacterium
Lineage: Bacteria
Description: partial 16S ribosomal RNA
Rfam family: Bacterial small subunit ribosomal RNA
Source: RNAcentral